This 253-nucleotide ribosomal RNA is filed under the name uncultured bacterium. RNAcentral's name for it is "partial 16S ribosomal RNA". It matches the Rfam family "Bacterial small subunit ribosomal RNA", at positions 524 to 776 of the family's 1533-position model. The record is from RNAcentral.
UACGUAGGGUGCAAGCGUUGUCCGGAAUUAUUGGGCGUAAAGAGCUUGUAGGCGGUUUGUCGCGUCUGCUGUGAAAUUUCGGGGCUCAACCCCGAACUUGCGGUGGGUACGGGCAGACUAGAGUGUGGUAGGGGAGACUGGAAUUCCUGGUGUAGCGGUGAAAUGCGCAGAUAUCAGGAGGAACACCGAUGGCGAAGGCAGGUCUCUGGGCCAUAACUGACGCUGAGACGCGAAAGCGUGGGGAGCAAACAGG